AUUGAACGCUGGCGGCAGGCCUAACACAUGCCAGUCGAACGGUAACAGGAAGCAGCUUGCUGCUUUGCUGACGAGUGGCGGACGGGUGAGUCAUGUCUGGGAAACUGCCCGAUGGAGGGGGAUAACUACUGGAAACGGUAGCUACUACCGCAUAACGUCGCAAGACCAAAGAGGGGGACCUUAGGGCCUCUUGCCAUCGGGUGUGCCCAGAUGGGCAUCGCUAGUAGGUGGGGUAACGGCUCACCUAGGCGACGAUCCCUAGCUGGUCUGAGAGGAUGACCAGCCACACUGGAACUGAGACACGGUCCAGACUCCUACGGGAGGCAGCAGUGGGGAAUAUUGCACAAUGGGCGCAAGCCUGAUGCAGCCAUGCCGCGUGUAUGAAGAAGGCCUUCGGGUUGUAAAGUACUUUCAGCGGGGAGGAAGGGAGUAAAGUUAAUACCUUUGCUCAUUGACGUUACCCGCAGAAGAAGCACCGGCUAACUCCGUG
Molecule: ribosomal RNA, 490 nt
Filed under: uncultured bacterium
Lineage: Bacteria
Description: partial 16S ribosomal RNA
Rfam family: Bacterial small subunit ribosomal RNA
Source: RNAcentral